AACGAACGCUGGCGGCGUGGAUAAGACAUGCAAGUCGAACGCUUAUUUUCCGGUAGCAAUAUUGGGAAGUAGGAGUGGCGCAAGGGUGCGUAACACGUGGAUCAUCUGCCUGGAAGUUCGGAAUAAUUCGGCGAAAGCCGGACUAAUGCCGGAUGUGGUUGGAAGACUAAAGUUGGGGACCGCAAGGCCUGACGCUUCCAGAUGAGUCCGCGGCCUAUCAGCUAGUUGGCGGGGUAACGGCCCACCAAGGCGAAGACGGGUAGCUGGUCUGAGAGGACGACCAGCCUCACUGGAACUGAGACACGGUCCAGACACCUACGGGUGGCAGCAGUCGAGAAUUUUUCUCAAUGGGGGAAACCCUGAAGGAGCGACGCCGCGUGGGGGAUGAAGGGCUUCGGCCCGUAAACCCCUGUCAUUUGCGAACAAGUGUCAUGGUUGAACAUUCCAUGGCUUGAUUGUAGCGAAAGAGGAAGGGACGGCUAACUCUGUGC
Molecule: ribosomal RNA, 491 nt
Filed under: uncultured bacterium
Lineage: Bacteria
Description: bacterial SSU rRNA
Rfam family: Bacterial small subunit ribosomal RNA
Source: RNAcentral